RNAcentral lists this long non-coding RNA (661 nucleotides) under Polistes fuscatus (common paper wasp). RNAcentral describes it as "uncharacterized LOC122526189". Lineage: Eukaryota; Metazoa; Arthropoda; Insecta; Hymenoptera; Vespidae. The record is from RNAcentral.
GCUUACCUAUGGGAAAAAUCUACAUUGAGUCGAUGCCGAUGAAUGAGUUCGCAUAAGGGGAGCAGACGGUUGCGGGGGUGCAAGAAGAGAGAGAGAGAGACAAGGAUGGAAAAAGAGGAACAGGCGGAAUCUUUUGUGAACAAAUUCUUGGCAGCAUCCAUCUAGCCCGACAUCGUGCAUAUCGUCCUCGGGGUUCGUACCCUGCAAGAAGAAGGGCUCCGCGAAGGACAGCUUGGGCCGCCGACGGCUACCUGAGCUUUUAGUUUAAGAAUAAGAGGAAGGUGGAGUUGGUCUUCGAAGUUGUACACCGCUUUGGUAUUCGUUUCACGUCGGCAACGACUUCGUGGUGUACAUCGGUCCAAGAACGGUUGGUUCAUUUUCCGAAUGGCAUCGAAAAUAAGGCGUGAAAGUGUGAAGAAGAAAAAGAAGAAAAAGAAGAAGAAGAAGAAGAAGAAAAAGCAACUGACUGAGAGAGAACGAUAACGGAGAAGGAAGGAAUAUUUUUCCGGCAACGGGGGAAACAAAUUACUUGGGAAUUACUCGCCUGGGAUUGACGUUUGAUUGCGGCACUGCAUCUCUGCCGAAGAUCUCCUAAUGACCUCGCACCACCACCAGCAGCACCACCACCACCACCACCCCGUGGCAAUCGUCGAUAAAAAUC